AAAAAGUGGCAAAGGCGAAAAUUUGUGCAAACAGAAUUCCAAAGCUGCAUCAAGGCUCCAAUCACACUGCUAAACAACAUUCAAAAGCCCUCAAUCCUAACACUUUGAACAUGUCAGACAAUCAACCAGCACGCAGGACUGCGUCUUCUAGAGAGGGAAUGGGUGGCGCUAAGGGAAGAAAGGGUUCUUCAAAGAAGGAGGUGAAGGAGGUGAAGGAGGUGAAGGAGAAGAAGAAGGUUUUGACUGGUUCUGCUUCUCGUCCCCUGGGGGUCCAUGGCUCGGACGUGCAGACUCAGUCUUCAGGCGUGAUCAACGCUGAUGGUUCUGAUACUGAGUGGGAUGAGGAUUGGUAUAAUUAUCUUCAUUCGGAGGAGUUCGCUCGUCGGGAAGAAUAACGUGUUUUUAUUUUGUUUGAUGUGUAUUUUGUAACGCUCGUCGGGCAGAAUAACGUGUUUUUGUUUUGUUUGACGUGUUUUGUUUUGUUUUGUUCUGAUUUCGGAUUGUA
Vicia villosa (hairy vetch) is the source of this 505-nucleotide long non-coding RNA. RefSeq lists it as uncharacterized. Lineage: Eukaryota; Viridiplantae; Streptophyta; Magnoliopsida; Fabales; Fabaceae. The record is from RefSeq and is a predicted model, not a curated record. The transcript has 3 exons.